CAGCAGCCACGGUAAUACAGAGGGUGCGAGCGUUAAUCGGAUUUACUGGGCGUAAAGCGUGCGUAGGCGGCUUUUUAAGUCGGAUGUGAAAUCCCUGAGCUUAACUUAGGAAUUGCAUUCGAUACUGGGAAGCUAGAGUAUGGGAGAGGAUGGUAGAAUUCCAGGUGUAGCGGUCAAAUGCGUAGAGAUCUGGAGGAAUACCGAUGGCGAAGGCAGCCAUCUGGCCUAAUACUGACGCUGAGGUACGAAAGCAUGGGGAGCAAACAGGAUUAGAUACCCCCGUAGUCCCUGUCUCUUAUAC
RNAcentral lists this ribosomal RNA (301 nucleotides) under uncultured bacterium. RNAcentral describes it as "partial 16S ribosomal RNA". It matches the Rfam family "Bacterial small subunit ribosomal RNA", at positions 509 to 807 of the family's 1533-position model. The record is from RNAcentral.